ACACUUCUUUUUGGGUCUCCAUAGAUCUUAAAUAUUUGUUUGGUUUUUUUUAUUUUAAGGCAUGAGUACAUGUUCUGUGCCUUUUAUUUUUUAACACAGAAGCCAAGAAUGUUGCAUUUUGUUGUGUUGACUGUCUUGCCCUUUGCUUUCUGGCAGAUUGACUGGAACAGACCAAUCACAGAAGCACUCUGAUACUCUUCAGGAAGGUGGAUGGCACCUGGAAUGUCUCACCCAGACCACUGUCCUGGUGUGCAGGAAGAAGGAUGCUAAAGAGAUCCUGCUCCUAUGUCAGAAAGGUAUUUUCUUUUAUGUCCCUGAUUUUCAUGGGUCCUGAAGAAAUUACUGAUGGGAGCUGGCCAGAUAGCGAGACCACACUGGAGCAGAACUCGGCAGAGUUUGAAUAACAGAAAAUCUCAGAGCCCUCUCACUGGAGUGACAGGAGCUGCUGGUUAAAACUGAGAGUGGGGCCCAGCCACCAGUCCGUCGUCGUGACUUAGAUGGAUAAUUAGUCAGGUAACAAUUCCACUGUUGAAAAGUCUGUGAGGCUGGGAUCAAACCAACUCAGCACUGCAGGCAAC
Molecule: long non-coding RNA, 578 nt
Organism: Chiroxiphia lanceolata (lance-tailed manakin)
Lineage: Eukaryota; Metazoa; Chordata; Aves; Passeriformes; Pipridae
Exons: 3
Source: RefSeq, a predicted model, not a curated record